RNAcentral lists this ribosomal RNA (253 nucleotides) under uncultured bacterium. RNAcentral describes it as "partial 16S ribosomal RNA". It matches the Rfam family "Bacterial small subunit ribosomal RNA", at positions 524 to 776 of the family's 1533-position model. The record is from RNAcentral.
UACGUAGGGUGCGAGCGUUGUCCGGAAUUAUUGGGCGUAAAGGGCUCGUAGGCGGUUUGUCGCGUCGGGAGUGAAAACCUUGGGCUUAACUCAGGGCUUGCUUUCGAUACGGGCAGACUAGAGGUAUGCAGGGGAGAACGGAAUUCCUGGUGUAGCGGUGAAAUGCGCAGAUAUCAGGAGGAACACCAGUGGCGAAGGCGGUUCUCUGGGCAUGAUCUGACGCUGAGGAGCGAAAGUGUGGGGAGCAAACAGG